RNA transcript from Triticum aestivum (bread wheat), 2862 nucleotides. It is a transcript of the gene named tubulin beta-2 chain, with no coding region annotated. The transcript has 5 exons. NCBI's taxonomy places the organism in Eukaryota, Viridiplantae, Streptophyta, Magnoliopsida, Poales, Poaceae. The record is from RefSeq and is a predicted model, not a curated record.
AUCAACCUGCAGUCCCUGUUUUAGUGGCACCCAAAAAAACGUCUCACUUUUACAAACAAAACCCUAUAGGCAUUUCAAUUCAGUCCGCAAUCCUUUCCUUCCUCUUAUCCACCCUGCGCCGGUGGCCGCCGUGCCUGGCACCGGAGGAUGGAGUGCGCUCGCCGGGAGGAUGGACGGCGCGGAGAGGCGCGCUCGAGCCUGAGCUCAUGUGCCCGCGCCUCGCGCCUCCUUGCACCGCUCCGGCGGCCUCACUCGCCACACGCCGUCGCCGGCGACCACAAGCAGCGACCGUCGCACCUCUCUGCGCGCCACCCCGAAGCCCCAGGCACGCCGCGCUGCCGUCCCCCGCAACCCCGGCCUCCUCCUUGACCUCGCCUCUCCGUGCGAACAAUCGACGUCGCCGGCGGCGGCCUCGGCCACCAUGCUUGAGCUGACGAGCGCCGACCGCACGGGGCUCAUCUCCGAGGUGUUCGACGUGCUAGACGACAUGAGCUGCAGCGUCGUCGAUGCCAGGGCGUGGUCGCAUCGCGGCCGCCUCGCCUGCCUCGUCUACCUGCGGGGCGAGGAUGUUGCCGCAGCCGUUGUGGAGCACAUCGAGGCCCGCCUCGCCUCCCUCCUCCGCGGAGACUCGGAAGCCAGCAGCGGCGCCGUGGCUGCCGUCCCCGCCGGCUCCAUCCCGCACGCCAACCGGCGCCUCCACCAUCUCAUGUAUGCCAGCGGCGACCUGGAGCACGCGUUCCCAACUCCCACGGUGCGUGCUCAUGGAUCUCGAGCCCGACACCAUGGGCUCCGUGCACAAGGGGACCUACGGCCAGAUCUUCCGCCCCGACAACUUUGUCUUCGGCCAGUCCGGCGCCGGCAACAACUGGGCCAAGGGCCACUACACCGAGGGCGGGGAGCUCAUCGACUCCGUCCUCGACGUCGUCCGCGAGGAGGCCGAGAAUUGCGCUGCCUCCAAGGCUUCCAGGUGUGCCACUCCCUCGGCGGGGGCACCGGUUCCAAGAUCAGGGAGCAGUACCCGGGCCGGAUGAUGCUCACCUUCUCCGUGUUCCCAUCUCCAAAGGUCUCUGACACGGUGGUCGAGCCCUACAACGUCACUCUCUUGGUUCACUGGCUGGUGGAGAACGCCGACGAGUGCAUGGUGCUGGACAACAAGGCGCUCUACGACAUUUGCUUCCGCACCCUCAAGCUGACCACACCUAGCUUAGGUGGUGGAAUGAGGACACUCUCCAAGAGAACUUCUUAACACCAGACAUCUGGGUGAUAAAGAAGACCCCUCUUGGAAAAUUGGACCAGGAUAUGUGGGUGUGAUCCAGAAUUUUAUGCCUGUCAGGGCUAACUUGCACCUCCAUCCCUACGCCCCUUUGAUUACAUUUGCAAUUCAAUAUGCAAAUAAGCUGGAUGCUUGGAUGCCCGUGGUGAGUGAAGUAUGGCUUUAGUCUAUCGGUUAAGCUGACUAACUGUUUCAAAAUCUUGAACUAAUGUUUUUUGUGACACCUGAACUGAAGUUGGUCAUGCUAACAAAACCUUCAACUUAUUAGAAAGAAAUUGUAACAACAGUUUAGCUUAUUGUUCUGUGAAGUAACUACUGUUGUACCAGGAAAUUUUGUGCACGUGCAUUCAAUUACAGGUUAUCCGAGCCUGCUUGCACUUGCAACUGAUCAAUGCCGAUCCAGUUGUUCUCAGGAUAGAUAAAAAUCAGUUCUUGUUCAUUAUAGAGGGCAUCCAACAUAAAUAAGAUUUUUAAAUCUGACAAAACAUUUUUAUUGUACAAUUCAGUCUGAAAGAUAAGAGCAAACUUAUCUGCCACUAUAGAGGGAAUCAAACGUAAAAUAGGUGACAUGCAGAUAUUGACAUACGAUUACAUUUUUAUGGCAUUACUAAUCCAGUUAUGGUUCCAUUGUUGUCGCACACCGAACGUUCAAUGAAUUUCUUGAAGAAAAUGUAUGGAGUCUUUUGUUGUGUGCUUCAACCAGGGAGGUAACUACAUUUCUUUCGUUGCUGAAAAAGCUGAGGUGAAUUCUAUGACAGUAAGGGUUGAUGAUAGGAGCACAAGUAAUUCUGAUGAAAUAAUCAUCACGUACGGACAUCACUCUAUACUCCUUCCGUUACAUAAUUCUUGUCGUGGUUUUAGUUCAACAUUGCAUAACCUUCUGGUUUUCCUGAGGUACUGCUCAGUAACUUUUUUUACCUCAUGCAUACAAAGAUAGAACAAGAGUCACCGGAUUAAGAAUUCGAACUUUCAGAAGUUCAAAAAACAAAUCUGCAUAGUCUGUCGAUGGGGAUGGAAGGAAAGAAUUGUGAUUCUAAUGUGCCAUUGACAGUGGCGGGCAUUAAUUGGGGAGGCGGAGAUAGCAGCUUGACAUGCAUGAUGUUUGAUUAGAAUCGUGUUUACUUGGUGAUGCUUUUAGUUUGCUAGAACUUUUUAGCCUGAAAGAAUGCAAAAUGCAUAUACACUGGGAUUAGGAAUCCAUUAAGUUAUCUUAGUUUCUCUUUCUGGUUUGAGUUUAGUAUUAUUUUUUCUUCUUCAUGCAUUUAAUUUGCUGUGCAGGUGUCUUAGAUAAGAUGCUAUAAGGAUUACAUAACUUUCUUUACCGAUCACAGUACCGACGGUGGCAGGCCAUGCUUUCUAUCUGCAGUUCUCCAACUAAAAGUCUAACUGCAGGAGUAUGUAGAAUCUUCUUUACUUAACUAGCUUAUACUCACGGACAUAUCGUGAAGCACAAGCAGCCUUGCAACCACAAACCUUGCAGACUUCUCUUUUCAUAUCCAAACUUUGCAAACAUUUCAUUCAUGUUUUUAAACUUAUUCUACGUUUAUUUUAGUGCACCAAGAAAAAAUAAAUUUGUGACCAUUUGUGCU